This 73-nucleotide transfer RNA is filed under the name Bos taurus (domestic cattle). It matches the Rfam family "tRNA". Rfam says of the family: Transfer RNA (tRNA) molecules are approximately 80 nucleotides in length. Their secondary structure includes four short double-helical elements and three loops (D, anti-codon, and T loops). Further hydrogen bonds mediate the characteristic L-shaped molecular structure. tRNAs have two regions of fundamental functional importance: the anti-codon, which is responsible for specific mRNA codon recognition, and the 3' end, to which the tRNAs corresponding amino acid is attached (by aminoacyl-tRNA synthetases). tRNAs cope with the degeneracy of the genetic code in two manners: having more than one tRNA (with a specific anti-codon) for a particular amino acid; and 'wobble' base-pairing, i.e. permitting non-standard base-pairing at the 3rd anti-codon position. Lineage: Eukaryota; Metazoa; Chordata; Mammalia; Artiodactyla; Bovidae. The record is from Rfam by way of RNAcentral. RNAcentral also lists the same sequence under 1 other name.
UCCCUGGUGGUCCAGUGGUUAGGAUUCCAUGCUUCUAAUGCAGAGGGUGUGUGUUCGAUCCUUGCUUAGGGAA